This is a non-coding RNA of Candidatus Woesearchaeota archaeon CG1_02_47_18, 75 nucleotides long. The record is from Rfam. Lineage: Archaea; Nanobdellati; Candidatus Woesearchaeota.
GGGCCUAUAGCUCAGCCUGGUUAGAGCGAUCGGCUCUUAACCGAUAGGUCGAGGGUCCGAAUCCCUCUAGGCCCG